AGGAAGAGGAAGAGAUGGAGGCCAUGCUGGAGGUAGAGGUAGAGGAAGACAAGAAGGUGCUCAAAGAGGACCGAAUCUGACAAAUGAGAUCCGCGCAACACUGGUUGACCACGUUGUCCACCACGGCCUGACGCUGAGGGAGGCUGGACUGCGAGUACAGACAAAUCUAAGCCCAUACACAGUGGCAAUUGUGAUAAGAACAUUUCGACUGGAAAAUAGGAUUGAGGGUCAGGAAUGACAAGGGGGAAGGCCUCCUAUGUUCACAGAACAGCAACAGAGGGAGAUAGUAAACAUGGUUUUGGCCAACAAUGCUAUAACACUCAAUCAGCUCCAAACUAACAUUGUCAAUAACCACGCCAGUUUCAACAAUAUCCAUCAGGUCUCAACAUCAACACUGGCACGCAUCCUAAAUAAAAACAUAUUCAAAUGAAGCAAAUUUUUCGAGUGCCUUUCGAGCGCAAUUCCGAAAUGUUGAAAUGACUGCAGCAUAAUUAUGCAGAGAGAGUUUUACGAAUGGAUGGAGAGGAGAUCCAGCAUGAGUUCAUUUACAUAGAUGAGGCUGGGUUCAACCUGACGAGAACACGAAGGAGGGGAAGAACCAUCAUUGUCCACAGGGCUAUAGUCAACGUCCCAGGGCAACGUGGGGGUAAUAUAACACUCUGUGCAGCCAUUACACAGAAUGGGUCCUCCAUGCCCAUAUGGGCCCUUACAACACAGCACUCAUACUUACAUUCUUGGACCAAAUGCACAACAUAACAGCAGCAAAUCAAAUCGAUCAUAUGCAAUACAUUGUUGUCUGGGAAAAUGUGUCUUUCCACCGUUCUGCUCUGGUUCAGAACUGGUUUCAGCAACAUCCACAUUUCACAGUCCUAUAUCUUCCACCAUACUCUCCAUUCCUCAACCCUAUAGAAGAGUUAUUCUCGGCAUGGCGGUGGAAGGUAUAUGAUCUCCGUCUCCAGGUUGAGGUACCCCUCAUCCAAGCCAUGGAGGAGGCCUGUGACCAGAUGGAGGUAGCAGCAAUGCAAGGAUGGAUUCGUCAUUCAAGACGUUUCUUUUCAAGGUGUCUUGCUAAUGACAACAUUGCCUGUGAUGUUGAGGAAAUUCUCUGGCCAGAUC
This is a long non-coding RNA of Esox lucius (northern pike), 1116 nucleotides long. RefSeq lists it as uncharacterized. The transcript has 3 exons. NCBI's taxonomy places the organism in Eukaryota, Metazoa, Chordata, Actinopteri, Esociformes, Esocidae. The record is from RefSeq and is a predicted model, not a curated record.